UACGUAGGGUGCAAGCGUUGUCCGGAAUUAUUGGGCGUAAAGAGCUCGUAGGCGGUCUGUCGCGUCGGCUGUGAAAACUUGGGGCUCAGCCCCAAGCCUGCAGUCGAUACGGGCAGACUAGAGUCCGGCAGGGGAGACUGGAAUUCCUGGUGUAGCGGUGAAAUGCGCAGAUAUCAGGAGGAACACCGAUGGCGAAGGCAGGUCUCUGGGCCAUAACUGACGCUGAGAAGCGAAAGCAUGGGGAGCGAACAGG
RNAcentral lists this ribosomal RNA (253 nucleotides) under uncultured bacterium. RNAcentral describes it as "partial 16S ribosomal RNA". It matches the Rfam family "Bacterial small subunit ribosomal RNA", at positions 524 to 776 of the family's 1533-position model. The record is from RNAcentral.